RNAcentral lists this ribosomal RNA (315 nucleotides) under Rhodococcus sp. AQ5-07. RNAcentral describes it as "bacterial SSU rRNA". It matches the Rfam family "Bacterial small subunit ribosomal RNA", at positions 1 to 319 of the family's 1533-position model. The record is from RNAcentral. Lineage: Bacteria; Bacillati; Actinomycetota; Actinomycetes; Mycobacteriales; Nocardiaceae.
UUCAACGGAGAGUUUGAUCCUGGCUCAGGACGAACGCUGGCGGCGUGCUUAACACAUGCAAGUCGAGCGGUAAGGCCUUUCGGGGUACACGAGCGGCGAACGGGUGAGUAACACGUGGGUGAUCUGCCCUGCACUUCGGGAUAAGCCUGGGAAACUGGGUCUAAUACCGGAUAUGACCUCCUAUCGCAUGGUGGGUGGUGGAAAGAUUUAUCGGUGCAGGAUGGGCCCGCGGCCUAUCAGCUUGUUGGUGGGGUAAUGGCCUACCAAGGCGACGACGGGUAGCCGACCUGAGAGGGUGACCGGCCACACUGGGAC